RNAcentral lists this ribosomal RNA (253 nucleotides) under uncultured bacterium. Its description in RNAcentral is "partial 16S ribosomal RNA". It matches the Rfam family "Bacterial small subunit ribosomal RNA", at positions 524 to 776 of the family's 1533-position model. The record is from RNAcentral.
UACGGAGGGAGCUAGCGUUGUUCGGAAUUACUGGGCGUAAAGCGCGCGUAGGCGGCUUUGUAAGUUAGAGGUGAAAGCCCGGAGCUCAACUCCGGAACUGCCUUUAAGACUGCAUCGCUUGAAUCCAGGAGAGGUGAGUGGAAUUCCGAGUGUAGAGGUGAAAUUCGUAGAUAUUCGGAAGAACACCAGUGGCGAAGGCGGCUCACUGGACUGGUAUUGACGCUGAGGUGCGAAGGCGUGGGGAGCAAACAGG